AGCUAAAUAACAUAAUCGGUAAUGUGUUAGAUUGCAAAUCUUUAAAUAUCGGUUCGAGUCCGAUUUUAGCUU
Molecule: non-coding RNA, 72 nt
Organism: Fragilaria crotonensis
Lineage: Eukaryota; Bacillariophyta; Fragilariophyceae; Fragilariales; Fragilariaceae
Source: the annotation of a GenBank genome assembly